GGAUCCGCCUUCAAGACGCCAAACCCGCGUGACUGUCGCAUUCGUUUUGGUGCCGCACAGAGGAUCAGUUCCGCCUCCAGGCGGCCCCGUAAAUUCUACUGUCAAACAGCGGAUCCUGAGUGGACCCAUGUCGGAUCCGCGGGCGCGGACGCGCAUUUACUGUAACGGUUGAACAUGACUGUACACCAAGAGCCAAGAAGAGUCAUACUAGUGGAUAUUUUCUUUGCUGGGACACAGUUGCGCUGAACCCUCUCGACCAUCGUUUCGGGGACUCUGAUGACAGUGAAGAGCCAGAAAAUGGUGACUUUGCAUCUCUGAGGUACCUUUCAACUCGCCUGGUAUAUCAGUUGAAGCCUCAAGCCCAAGCCAAUUGCACUGGCAAACUCCACCAUCUCGCCGAGUGCCAGGCAGCCGAGUCACUACCCCUCAACCUGGAGAAAACUGUUAAGGUAAAGACUGAUCUCUGAAAUAAUAUUGAAUACAGUGGCCCCAUCUAUAUUAACACAGCAGUAGUCACUCCAUGUCAGAUCAACAGAUUGCAUCUGCAUUACCAUCUGAGAUUUUCUGCAUACUUUAUCCAUUACUUUCAAAAUCUCAGCCAAAUAUUUUGUCAGUUAAAACAUCUGCAUUCAUGCAAUAUUGCCUGAAAAGUUCAUUCAUUAUUAUCAGAUUGUAUUGAAACACAUUGAUUUCAAUGU
Alosa sapidissima (American shad) is the source of this 698-nucleotide long non-coding RNA. RefSeq lists it as uncharacterized. The transcript has 3 exons. Lineage: Eukaryota; Metazoa; Chordata; Actinopteri; Clupeiformes; Clupeidae. The record is from RefSeq and is a predicted model, not a curated record.